Non-coding RNA from Nicotiana tabacum (common tobacco), 3231 nucleotides. NCBI's taxonomy places the organism in Eukaryota, Viridiplantae, Streptophyta, Magnoliopsida, Solanales, Solanaceae. The record is from RefSeq and is a predicted model, not a curated record.
UGUGGCAGCACCCAGGGUGUUGUAUCAUUUUCGUUUAAUCCAAGUAAUGCGUAAGUUGAUGUAGUAGCUAUUUGGAUAAUCUGACGCUCUUAUUAAUUGCCAAGGAAAAUUAACAGGAGUACUGUUGUCCGUUUCCCUUUUGAGAAUAGUAGCACUUUCCCUUCAGGCUACUCUUCAUUUUCAUUGAAUCGAAAACGGCAAGUUAAUCAGAGCAAACAACAGACCAAUACUCAUCAGCAUCAUACCACAAAACAACCAACUCCACUAACAAUUGAGUCAAGCCAAGUUAAUCUAAAUGCAAAGGCUAAUAAACCUCAAAACACAACAACAGUCCUAAUGUGCAAUCUCCCAUUAAGAAAGGUUCUCAGAUGCAUACUACUAAGCCAAAACACCAAAGUAGUUCUGAUAUCGCCUCUACUUCUGUUGUUCCAAAAAUCCCAAAGACAACACAAAUUAGCCAGAUAGAAAAUACACACUGAAACCCACUUCUCAAGAGCCUCGAGAUCCUCAUUCUCCUGACAAUCCAACCUCUGAAUCUCAUCCACCAGCUAACAAUCCUAUUAACCAUCCUUCAGAGAGUAGUGAUGAAUUAGAGCUUAAUAUUAUAAAUAAUCCUAUUAACCAUCCCUCAGAGAGUAGUGAUGAAUUAGAGCUUAAUAUUGUAAAUGAUGUAGAUUCCGAAUUUGAAAGGGAAAUUCAGAAAUUGCUGAAAAUGAUCAAGUUGUUAGUGAUUCUGAGAAUGACUUUGAAAGUAUUGAAGAUUAAUCUAAAGUGAGGAAACUCUUGAUGCUCAAUCAGCUACCAACGAUGAUCAUGUUAACAGAUGCUUAAUCAGCUACCAGCGAUGAUCAUGCUAACAGAUUGUUAGAAGUUUUUUCACAUCAAUCACCACCACCAGAUGAAAUUGUUCAAGCCUUUGGAGAUGUAACCGACAGACACCACCUCUCACCUAGGGGGCAUGAGGUAACCAAAGGUGGACUCUAAUUAACCAGAGGUGGACACACCUUUAGGGAGGGCAGAGGUAAUAGAAGAGGCAAAGGCAUUCCUCUUAUGAAAUUUUCACAGGACAAUGAUGAUCAAUCUACAUCUUUUUAAUGAUUAAGUCUUCUUAUUUGGAAUAUUAGAGGCAUCAUUUAACAAGGUGCCUUUGACAGAUUUAAGCAACUCAAAAGAACUCCCAACCUUUUAUUCAUUGCUAUCAUGGAACCUUUCAGCGGAAGAAAAAAGUUAGAGAAAUUUAGGAGAGAACUUGGGUUUGAUUUUGCAUAUGUCAAUUGCAACAAUAAAAUCUGGUUCUUUGGUAAUAGCUCUAUCAACUGUAUUGUUAUUGAAUACUUUACUCAACUUAUCAAUUGCUCAAUUGAUAAUAAUGGGGAGACUUUAUAUAUGACUUAAGUGUAUGCUAAAUGCGAAGCUCAUCUCAGGGAGCUUCUAUGGGAUAACAUCAAAUCUUUUUCUAAUGGAGUUAGCUCUCCAUGGAUGGUGAUUGGGGAUUUUAACGCUAUUACUGAUCCUCAGGAGAAAAAAGGGGGAAAAAUCCACAAUAUGUCUAAAAGCUUGCCCUUCAUCAACUGCAUUGUGGAUAGUGGCCUUUUGGAUCUUGGUUACACUGGCAGUCCUUUUACCUGGUGUAAUGGCUGGGCACCUAUUAAGAGGAUAUGGGCAAGAUUGGAUAGAACUCUUGUUAACUCGGAAUGUUUACAGAAUUUUGCAGAUACCUCUAUCACACACUUAGUCAGAACUGGCUCUGAUCAUGCUCCUUGCUUGUCUCCACUUCCAAUCCAUAAUUGGAUCCUAAAAGUAUUUCAGAUUCUUAGAUCUUUGGACUGAACAAGAGAGUUUUAUGCAAGUGGUGGAACAAGCCUGACAACUACAAGUAGAAGGAGGCCCUAUGUAGAGAUUUCAUCUCAAGCUAAAAAAUAUCUGUAAGAGUCUUUCCUUUUGGUCCAAGAAUUCUAUUGGGAAUAUUUUUGAUAAGACCAAAGAAUUGCAGAAUAUGCUUGAGGUAUUAGAGGAAAGAUGUCUAUAUGACAAUUCUGACAGUAAUAGGAUGAAAUACAAUAAUAUGAAUGCACAGUUGAUUAGACACAUAAAAAAUAAAAAUUUAUUUUGGAGACAAAAAGCUGGUUUGAAGUGGUUUACAGAUGGUGACAAUAACGCUAGGUUCUUUCACUCUGUAAUUAAUUCCAGAAGGAAAAAAAUACAACUUACAAGAAUCAAGAAGCAAGAUGGUACCUGGAUUGAGAACAAAGAUGAUAUAGCUACUAAAGCUAUUAACUUUUUUGAGCAGCAGUUCACACAAGAAAAUACUUGCAGAGAUUUUUCAAAGCUCAGGGGUCUAACAGAGUAAUAAAUGAAGAAGAUAACUUGAUUUUAGAGGCACUCCCUACCAUGGAUGAACUGAAACAGGUAGUAUUCUCCAUGGAUAGUAGUAGCUCGCUUGGCCCCGAUGGCAUUUCUGGAAAAUUCUUUCAACACUACUGGAAUAUAAUUUAUGUUGAUCUCUAUUAGGUGAUUUUGAAAUUCUUCUCUGGGCAACCACUUUCUAGAUCAUUCACUCAUACAUACCUUGUCCUUAUCCCUAAAAUUGAUAACCCGCAGCAAUUCACUGAUUUCAGACCUAUUAGUCUAAGCAGCUUCUCUUCCAAAAUUAUCUCAAAGUUGCUUAACAGUAGGCUAGACCCUCUUAUGGACGGGAUUAUUUCUCCAAACCAAAUUGGUUUCCUUAAAGGUAAGUCAAUCUCAGAUAAUGUCUUGCUUACUCGAGAAUUUAUUCAUAACUUGAAUAGGCCCAAUGUCAAUGGUAAUGUAGUUUUUAAGCUAGACAUGGCAAAGGCCUUUGACAGAGUUCCUUGGGACUGCCUCUGUCAAACCAUGAGGCAAUUAGGCUUUUCUGAAUGUUGUAUUGAUAUGGUUGCAAGAUUGAUCUCAAACAAUUGGUACUCCAUCAAUGUCAAUGGAGUGAGACAUGGGUUUUCAAAUCUUCUAGGGGCCUUAAGCAAAGACACCUACUAUCCCUCUCACUUAUUGUCAUUGGGGCAGAAUUGUUAUCUUACAUGAUGGACCAACUGUGACUUGUUAUCUAUUGCCAUGAUGAUGAAAAAGUUGGAGAACUAUCAACAAGCCUCAAGACAAAUAGUGAAUAAAAGAAAAUCUACAUUCCUGGUAUCUUCUAACUCCUUCAACUGUAAUUGAAGACAUCAAAAGCAUUACUGGUUUUUCACAUUUCAA